GAUGAACGCUGGCGGCGUGCCUAAUACAUGCAAGUCGAGCGAACGGACGAGAAGCUUGCUUCUCUGAUGUUAGCGGCGGACGGGUGAGUAACACGUGGAUAACCUACCUAUAAGACUGGGAUAACUUCGGGAAACCGGAGCUAAUACCGGAUAAUAUUUUGAACCGCAUGGUUCAAAAGUGAAAGACGGUCUUGCUGUCACUUAUAGAUGGAUCCGCGCUGCAUUAGCUAGUUGGUAAGGUAAUGGCUUACCAAGGCAACGAUGCGUAGCCGACCUGAGAGGGUGAUCGGCCACACUGGAACUGAGACACGGUCCAGACUCCUACGGGAGGCAGCAGUAGGGAAUCUUCCGCAAUGGGCGAAAGCCUGACGGAGCAACGCCGCGUGAGUGAUGAAGGUCUUCGGAUCGUAAAACUCUGUUAUUAGGGAAGAACAUAUGUGUAAGUAACUGUGCACAUCUUGACGGUACCUAAUCAGAAAGCCACGGCUAACUACGUG
RNAcentral lists this ribosomal RNA (497 nucleotides) under uncultured bacterium. Its description in RNAcentral is "partial 16S ribosomal RNA". It matches the Rfam family "Bacterial small subunit ribosomal RNA", at positions 28 to 507 of the family's 1533-position model. The record is from RNAcentral.